UUUUGACAAACUGGGUUAGUGUAUUUAUAUGCAAAAUGUGUUUGUGUUGAGAUUACAAGGGAAAUAAUUGAGUCAUACAAAGAUAAAGAUGUGUACGUGGAAUGCUAUAUAUGCUUCAUGGUCUUGCUAUUCAUGGUCAUGGGUGAGGUUUAAUCUUGUUGGACUAUUUUUUCAGAAUGAUAUGCUUCUAUCAUUUUGGAUUGAUAUAAUGAAUUCCUAGGCUUUCAUCAUGAAUAAUGAAAUGGAGCAUAAUUAAUAGGGACUUAUGUCUAAUAAAAUGGGUUAGUAUUAUAAUAAAUUAAGGGAUGGUUUGACUGUCUAUUGACCAGUCUGGGU
Molecule: long non-coding RNA, 336 nt
Filed under: Trifolium pratense (red clover)
Lineage: Eukaryota; Viridiplantae; Streptophyta; Magnoliopsida; Fabales; Fabaceae
Description: long non-coding RNA (TPRA_LNC004188)
Source: RNAcentral